RNAcentral lists this ribosomal RNA (248 nucleotides) under uncultured Muribaculaceae bacterium. Its description in RNAcentral is "partial 16S ribosomal RNA". It matches the Rfam family "Bacterial small subunit ribosomal RNA", at positions 524 to 772 of the family's 1533-position model. The record is from RNAcentral. Lineage: Bacteria; Pseudomonadati; Bacteroidota; Bacteroidia; Bacteroidales; Muribaculaceae.
UACGUAGGUGGCGAGCGUUAUCCGGAUUUAUUGGGCGUAAAGCGUCCGCAGACGGUUUAUUAAGUAUAUAAUUAAAGUCCGAAGCUUAACUUCGGUUCGUUAUAUAAACUGGUAGACUUGAGUACAGUAGAGGCAAGUGGAAUUUCUAGUGUAGCGGUAAAAUGCGUAGAUAUUAGAAGGAACACCAGUGGCGAAGGCGACUUGCUGGGCUGUUACUGACGUUCAUGGACGAAAGCGUGGGGAGCAAA